GAAUGACUGACAUAAUCAGUGCCAAUAAUCCAGAAUUGUUUCUUACCUCUGGACAAGGCUUUAUAAAUUCAUGCUUUAUAACACUUUAUUUCCUAUUAGCUUCCCAUAGCAGAUAAUGACAUAGUUUAUUCCUGAAUCUAUGCUUAUACAUAUUUGUUAUAAAGAAUGUAGACUGUUAUAACAUCAUUACAAAGAAAAUUACACAGACAUACUAAAAUUUCAUCUUAGUCUCUCAGUAGGUGGCUUUUAUAUAAAGGUUACUUUGCCCUUCAGGAAUUCAAAAAUAAAUAGCCUUUCAAGACUAUACUUGCUUCCCCUAACAUCGCAGUAAACCAAACCUUUCAUGGAGUUUGGGAUUAUGCCAUACAUUAAUUUGAUAUAUUCUCCAUUUAACUUUUAUUAUUACUUCAGCCUGUGUCACCUUCUAUUGACAAUAAUUCUGUAUGAAGUUAUUUCUUUUUCCUUCUUUUUACUGCUUAUAUAGCUUGUGGUUAAUCAACCACAGCAGAAUAUUUAAAUAAAAUGAGACUAGGAUAUAGAAACAUGUGCCCUCAAUGGAAAGCUUCACAAUAGUGGGAAUGCAGCGGGAAAAUGCCUGCACACAAGACAAAAGGGAGUGUACAGUAUCCUGGAUUAUAUAAAGCACAAAAUGAUACCUGCAAAAGUUCACUAUAGGUUGACGGUAAUUUGUAAUUUCCAAACAUAAAGAUGAGAAAACUGGUUUCUGUGAGAAGGCAAAGGAACAUCCCAUGACACUCCAGAUGAUGCUUUUUUAAAAACACAAUUUUUAAUUCAUUCACUUUAUAAUUCUGCCUCUACAGUUGCUCCAGAUCUUUUAUGAAAAAACAUAGCCUCUUUCCAUAAUAAUUUUGACACAAAAUUUAAACGAAUAAAUCUAAAACCUCACCCUCCAUAUUGUCCACUUAUCUCAUUUCCCUAAAAAAUGAUCAAAGCAUUUUUAUAAGAUAGCUAUUCCUUUAAGGAACAUUUAUUAAGUACUUCAUGUGGUACAGAAAACCCAAUGAGUUUAAUAAAGACUUGAAACAUACUAUUAUUUACAUAUUAAAUUCAAUAAUAAUUACUUAACUAUCUCAUGGACCAGACAACUAAAUUCUUCUGACAGAUAAUCUCUAACUAUUCUCUAAAAUAAAUGCUGUUUGAUUUUAAUAAACUGCCCUCCUUCUCACAAUACAGUAGAAUGAUCAAUUCUCUUAAAACUUUGGUAUGAUUAGUUCAAUACUAUAUACUCCAUAAAUCAUUCCUCAAUUGAAAUAUAUAAAAUAAAAAUAAAUAUACAAGCAAAAAUGUACAUGCAUGUGACAGUAUACACACUAGUUACAUGCAGAGAAUUUACCAAAUUCAUCAUCUGUUGGCAGAGUUGCUCUUAGACUAAGGCCUUCCAACUAUCACAUCAUAGCAUGCAUGGAAACUGAGGGUUAAAGAGUUAUGGCUGCUUGUGGCCAUAGGCAUCCAGCCUUGGGACUUUAGCCACAGCAAUCUCUAGCCUUUUUCAACCUGUAUGCUGUCUAUUUAGUGAAAGCAAAGAACAUGCAUUUAAGGCACAAUUCAUCCAUUUUUUUUUAAUGCUAAAAAGCAUAUACACAGCAAUGAGAAUCCUUUGAAAAGGAGCAGUAACAUAGCUUCCAAACAGUUUAAUGUGGCAAUAUUAGUGGGAGUGAAAGUAGUAGUCAUAGUAAUGGCUAGCAUGUCUCAAUAAUGUUGCUUCCAUUUCAAAUUCGUAUCUUAUUAAGUUUUCAGAAAUCUAAGAUGCAGGGGUUAAAGACUAGUUACAGAGAGAAAAAAAUGAGGUUAUAGAUGUUAACAAACUGAUUACCAUAACUCAUCAAAGAUGUGACGGAACCUAAAAGCCAUGUUGCCUCAACAUGACCAUUAUGGUAUUAUGCUGUCUCUUAACAAUAAUAAAAUUUUAAACAGAUUACACAAAUGGUUCAAAAAAACCUGAAAUCAUAUGGCACAACUAAAACCAGUAAAAAAAAAAAAAAAAAGAUGAAAAUUCUUUUUGAGUUUUCUCCUAUUCUGCAAUUCCAGCAGAAUAGGAACUGGUUAAGAAAUUGCAAGCUAAUCAUUAGUUUGUGAGUGGGAGGGUGAAGAAAAAAACAAUGAAACCAAGAUCAGGAUAUACUGCCAAGUGUGAAACAAAUGGAGAAAGGAUAUUUUAAAUGAAAAACAGGAGUUCCCACUAUGACUCCAUGGGUUAAGGAUCUGGCAUUAUCUCUGCAGCAUCUAGGGUCAUUGCUGAGGCACAGGUUUGAUCCCUUGCCCAGCUGUGCUGUGGGUUAAGGAUCCAGCUUUGCCAUAGCUGUGGUGUAGGCUGCAGCUGUGGCUCGGAUUUCAUCCUUGGCCAUGGAACUUCCAUAUGCUGAGGGUGUGGCCAAAUAAAUAAAUAAAAUGAAAGACCAAGAAAGAGUGCAAAAGGGCUGAGCAUUUCCUAUAUUGUCUCUAAGCAUGGUUAUAGGUAAACUGGGCAAUGUGAGUAGCAUGGCUGAGACUUGCCCACUGGAACAGCCAUGGUGGAUUGGUUAAAGGUGGAAGUAAGUUUACCAGGAAAAAUCCUAUGACAUAGCCAGUUGUAUUAAAAGUCUGAUGGAGUGACUUAUCAGGUGAAUAAGAGAAAAAGUGGGAGGAAAAGAAAGAAAGAAAUAAAGAAAGAGAGAGAGAGAGAAAGAAAGAGAGAGAGAAAGAGUUGAAAACCCUCAGAGUUACUGCGGAAUACCAGGAUUUCACCUCGCAAAAAAAAAAAAAAACCUACAGAAAUCAUUCUAAAUUGACAGGCCUGGCUUCACUCAAAGACUCUGCUGCCCUUGGGCCAUUUUCCCUUUUCUAAUCUGAAGGGGUAAAUUGGGUUGCUUGUUAUUCUGUCAUUCAGGGAGCUCAGUUAUAACAUUCACAAAUUAGUGCCAAGAUAUAAUCCUCCAACUUCUCCAAUGCAGGGCUGGCUGCAAGGCACUGGGGUUUAACUGUUUCCUCUCUCAUCCUCUAGUAACUGUGACUAUUCCCCAAGACUGAUUUAAAUCCUCAGUUUAAAUGAAGUCACCCUGUCCUUCGAGAUUUAAAUAAUGUUGUCUCCACCCUUCCAGCCAAAGCCCUGCAGGAAGAUCAAUGCUUUCUUUAAUAAUUUUGAAAAUCUGCACUUCUGUUUUGACUCUGAGGUCCUGCUUUCUGGUGCAAUUUCUAUCUCAUUGACUCUUCUGCUUCCCUAGUGGUUUUCCUCCCUCUGCUUUCAUCUACUCAGUAAGUCCCUUCUGCAUAACCUCAAAAAACAAACACACCAACUGGCAUGUACAUACCAUUUCCAUUUUAUAAAUAGGAAACAGGAGUUACAUUUUCCCUACCUAUGAUCGUCAUUGUUACCAUAUUUUUCUUUUAAUACUGAUCUUAUGGGGAAGAUAAAUACAAUUUUGUUUUUGUUUUGUUUUGUUCUUUGCUUGCUUGGUUGGGUUUUUUGUUUUUGUUUUUGCUUUUGUUUUAAUUGGGGUUUUUCUGGAGGGGUGUUUACCAGUUUAUCUUAAAGGUUUUACUAAUAUGAGAUAGAUUUGAAAAUCAGGGUUUAGUACGAAAGAGGACCACUCUGACUUAUUCUUUAAUAGUUUUGCCUUAACUUCUUGAUGAGUCACCUGUGGACAUAACCUGCUCACACAGAACACACUGUCAUAGUGCUCUUAGGGUAGAGGAAGGCAGAGAGUUUAACAGGAGUAGAGACUGAUUCCACCAGGGUCAUGUAGAAACCAGACAUGGCCCUGUGGGGCUCAUGGGCGCAAACACUUUUCUAUGUUCCCCAUUUCUUGUUCUUAGGAAAUGGGCCUCGUUCAGCCAUCAUGACCUUCCCUGAAUUCCUAGGGACAGGUUCAGACAGUUGCUCAUCAGGGAAGGGAGGAGAUGCAAAGACAAGGAUGGAUCAGUCAAGCAACAAUAGUACAUACAGCCUUGGGACAGAAUCCUGGUUCCCUCUCAAGGGAUACACAUAAUAAUAUAGGCAUCUUACACACUUAAGAGAAGAGUUACAUUUCUUAUCUUUUUUUAGAAAUGAAUACUUUAAAAUUGAACAGCUUAGAGUCCUUCCUUGUCCUUCUCCUGGCUUAAUUGCACCCUGAACACCAUCACCCAUAAACUAAAGAUAAGGCACACUGAGCAUAAUUGAUUACAGGUUAAAGAUUAUUAGCACAUGAUGUUUUUCAGCAACUUUCCUAGUUGGUUCUAAUCUCUGAUCAAUAUGUCCUUUUUGUAAGUAGUGUUAUUCUGGACAAAACCCCAGAAGACCACCUCAUGAACAUACCUAGAUCUCCUGACUCCAGCUUUGAUGACUAAGAUUCUCCCAAAGAAAGAAAAAUGCAUGUUUGUCCCAAUCCCGAUUCCUAUCUGAAAACCUGUUCUUCUCCUUUUUACUAUAAAACUCCUCACAAUUCUUUCUAAUGGGGGGGGCACAGUCUUUAAGUCAUUAGCCUGCUAUGACCCUCCUUUGCCUGGCAAAGCUAUAAAGCUAUU
This 4503-nucleotide long non-coding RNA is filed under the name Sus scrofa (pig). RNAcentral describes it as "lncRNA (ENSSSCG00055020106.1)". The record is from RNAcentral. Lineage: Eukaryota; Metazoa; Chordata; Mammalia; Artiodactyla; Suidae.